Molecule: ribosomal RNA, 987 nt
Filed under: Panorpa latipennis
Lineage: Eukaryota; Metazoa; Arthropoda; Insecta; Mecoptera; Panorpidae
Description: SSU rRNA
Rfam family: Eukaryotic small subunit ribosomal RNA
Source: RNAcentral
CCUGAGAAACGGCUACCACAUCCAAGGAAGGCAGCAGGCGCGCAAAUUACCCACUCUCGGCACGAGGAGGUAGUGACGAAAAAUAACGAUACGGGACUCAUCCGAGGCCCCGUAAUCGGAAUGAGUACACUUUAAAUCCUUUAACGAGGAUCAAUUGGAGGGCAAGUCUGGUGCCAGCAGCCGCGGUAAUUCCAGCUCUAAUAGCGUAUAUUAAAGUUGUUGCGGUUAAAAAGCUCGAUGUUGAAUUUGUGUCCCAUACUGUCGGUUCACCGCUCGCUGUUUAACUGGCAUGCUAUGGGACGUCCUAUCGGUGGGUUAGCCCGUAAAAAGGCAACCCAACUCAAAAUCUCAUCACGGUGCUCUUAAACGAGUGUCGAGGUGGGCCGAUACGUUUACUUUGAACAAAUUAGAGUGCUUAAAGCAGGCUAAUCUCGCCUGUAUAUUGUGUGCAUGGAAUAAUAGAAUAGGACCUCGUUUCUAUUUUGUUGGUUUUCGGAAUUCCGAGGUAAUGAUUAAUAGGGACAACUGGGGGCAUUCGUAUUGCGACGUUAGAGGUGAAAUUCUUGGACCGUCGCAAGACGGACAGAAGCGAAAGCAUUUGCCAAAUGUGUUUUCAUCAAUCAAGAACGAAAGUUAGAGGUUCGAAGGCGAUCAGAUACCGCCCUAGUUCUAACCAUAAACGAUGCCAGCUAGCGAUCCGCCAAAGUUCCUCCGAUGACUUGGCGGGCAGCUUCCGGGAAACCAAAGCUUUUGGGUUCCGGGGGAAGUAUGGUUGCAAAGUUGAAACUUAAAGGAAUUGACGGAAGGGCACCACCAGGAGUGGAGCCUGCGGCUUAAUUUGACUCAACACGGGAAACCUCACCAGGCCCGGACACUGGAAGGAUUGACAGAUUGAGAGCUCUUUCUUGAUUCAGUGGGUGGUGGUGCAUGGCCGUUCUUAGUUGGUGGAGCGAUUUGUCUGGUUAAUUCCGAUAACGAACGAGACUC